Lytechinus pictus (painted urchin) is the source of this 10115-nucleotide RNA transcript. It is a transcript of the gene named G-protein-signaling modulator 2-like, with no coding region annotated. The record is from RefSeq and is a predicted model, not a curated record. Lineage: Eukaryota; Metazoa; Echinodermata; Echinoidea; Temnopleuroida; Toxopneustidae. The transcript is spliced from 16 exons.
AUUACUCGAUCUAUUUCGUACACAAGAUACAGUAGAGGGAAGCUACGGUAGAUAGCGUUUUGCUUUUAUAUGGGCGGACAAAUUUUUCAACGGCUUUUUCAUCGACGUACCUCGCCGCCGAUACGGUCCCAUCAUCCGUGCGCGAUCCGUGAUCGAGAUCGACCAGUGGCAGCGCAGCGCCUGGGAACAUCUGAACAUAAAAGCCUGAAAUUCGAAAGCUGUAACUUAAGUUGAAUCGGACAUUGUUCCGUGCUGAAGUCUGUGAAUCUUCGACAGUUUCAAGAUCAGAUCAUCGAUCAGAGUUUCCGUUCAUCUCCGACUCCGAGAGACCAUCCUCGACUGAAUCGCAAGUCUUCUCAUUUCCAAAAAAAGGCCAGGCACUGCACAACACAGUCACACAAGGAUUAGGGGCCGGCAAUCAAUCACUGUCACUGUGUCAGUCAGAAUGGAUAUCUUCAGUCUACACCUUUAACACAUCCAUCUUCUGCUACCCCUAGGGAGUGAAAGGGAAAAAAGAAAGGGAAACCACUUUCUUGAGAAGUCCCCUGGAGGAUCCCACCAGGAGCAGGGAUUCAAGAUGCAAAGUGAGGCCUCCUGCAUGGAGCUGGCCCUGGAAGGUGAGAGGUUAUGCAAGGCGGGGAACUGCCGAGAAGGAGUCCGCUACCUGGAGGCUGCCGUGGAGGUCGGAACCGAUGACCUUAAGACGCUAAGUGCCAUCUACAGCCAGCUAGGCAACGCCUACUUCUUCCUUGAAGACUAUGGCAAGGCCCUGACCUAUCACAAGCAUGACCUGACCCUAGCGACCUCUAUUGGGGACAGACUUGGAGAAGCCAAAGCCAGUGGUAACAUUGGCAAUACACUGAAAGUCCUUGGAAAGUUUGAUGAAGCCAUCUGCUGUUGUCAAAGACAUUUAGAUAUAUCGAGAGAACUCUCGGAAAAGGUAGGAGAAGGCAGGGCGCUGUACAACCUCGGCAAUGUGUACCAUGCUAAAGGAAAGCAUGCUGGGCGGAGCGGGCAUCAAGACCCGGGAGACUUCCCUCAAGAAGUUACAGACUGUCUCAAGCAGGCUAUACAGUUUUAUGAAGCCAACCUAGCAAUAGUCAGGGAGCUCGGAGACAGGGCGGCGCAAGGAAGAGCCUGUGGUAACCUUGGCAACACGCAUUAUCUUCUUGGCAACUUCGAGACGGCCAUACAAUUCCACACAGAGCGGCUUGCUAUAGCAAAAGAAUUUGGAGACAAGGCAGCAGAGAGACGGGCUUAUAGUAACCUAGGAAACGCAUGUGUCUUUAUGGUGCAGUUUGAAGUGGCUGCAAAAUAUUACAAGAAAGCUUUGCAUAUUGCAAGGCAGCUCGGCGAAUUGGCGAUGGAGGCCCAGGCGUGCUACAGUCUAGGGAACACUUACACUUUAUUACGGGAGUAUGAGAAGGCUGUGGAAUACCAUGGUCGGCAUAUGGAGAUAGCUCAAGAACUCAAUGACAGAGUUGGAGAAGGCCGGGCAUGCUGGAGUCUAGGGAAUGCUCAUACGUCUUUAGGAAACCAUGAAAAAGCCCUUCACUAUGCAACUCUACAUCUUCAAAUAUCAAGAGAGGUUGGAGAUAGAACAGGAGAAGUCACAGCCAAGAUGAACUUACAAGAUUUACAAAGUCUCUUUGGUUUAAGUACAAGUGAUAUUAGUGAUGUCAGUACAACUGUUCAAACCCCAUUACAAGAAACUAAAGGUGCUAGACCCCGAAGAAGGAGAAGUAUGGAGAAUUUAGAACUUGUUGCUAUGACGCCUGAAAAGAAAGCAGAAAUCAACCAAGUCCCCAAAAGGAAAAUUAGGCCGGGGAGUAAGAUCAAAUUAAAGAAUGGCGGAGAAUCCAAAGAUAAGCAGAGCCUUAAGCAUUCCAAGGAGCCAGUUAGCAGUGCCAAGAAUAGUGCGCCCGCCCCGUCCAAAGCUAAAACACAGACCUCAGCACGGAAGGGAGGUGAACCCACACAGAUGCUAGAUGAUGCCGAUAACUUCUUUGAGGCCCUCAGUCGUUUCCAGAGCAAUAGAAUGGAUGAGCAAAGAUGCUCGUUUGGCAGACUACAGAAGAAGCUAGCAGACGAGGAGGGAAAUGGAUUACCCGAAAAGGAAGAACUCUUAGACGAGAUCGCCAAACUCCAGGGUAGCCGUCUCAACGAGCAGAGGGCAUUCUCCGCCCAACGGUUACCAGGGCUACCGGGUCUGAGGGCCAAUGAAGACGUUGUAGGGAAGCUAUUAGCCAAAGGAGAUCGAGCUGAACCAGAUGAUGAUUUCUUUGAGAUGAUCAUCAGAUGUCAGGGGGCCAGGAUAGAGGACCAACGCAGCACGUUACCCAUACAGGUCCCCGCCCCCACCGUCCCAGACGAGGACUUCUUCAGCCUGAUCCAGCGCAUCCAGUCCAAGCGCAUCGAAGAGCAGCGAACCAUACCACCGUGGGAAAAGGGUGCAGAAGAUGAUAAAUGAACACCUUGUCUAGCACGUCCAUCAUUUAUACUAGCCCCAUUCACACUGCAUGGAUAAACCACCUCAAACUGUUAAAAUGAUUAUGGGUUAAAUUGUGAGUGGGAAUAGACCACAAGGCGUUUCAUGGUAUGAAAAUGGCCAUAAAGACCUCGAUGCCCAUGCCAUUUUGUCUUGCAUAGGGGGAAGGGGAUUAGCCCAUUAUAAACCCUUCCAUCAAGAGGAUUAACACUGAAUGGAUAUAUUGGUUCUUCAUGCACUUGCAGCUCCUCCUCAACAUAGGAUGGUUGAUAUCAUGAAUGAAUAUUGAUAUUAAUUGAGGUGAUUUAUUCAUCGAGUGUGAAUGGGGCCUAAUUCAUACUUUCAAUGUCUCAGUGAUGGUAUAGGGAAUCGUGUUUGUCAGGUUCUGUGAUUAAUAGUCCAUUCGUGUGUGUGUGAGUGUGUGUGUACAUGUGUGUGUCCCAGUGAUUGGAGCUGUUUAUGGAACCCACCAGUGUUUGUCUAAGACUAAAUGGAAAUGCUCUAGCCCUUAUUCUGAUUAUUCUGAGGUUCGAUUUAAAUUCUGGUAUUUAACUUUUGAUGGCCAAUUGUGGAUCAAAUCUCUAACUCUAGUAAUACAUGCUCAAUUUAGCGGCUAUCAAAUCGUUUGUUCCUGUCAAGGAAGAAUAGUUCCUUCAACAUUCAAGCAUGCAGAACAAGUGCACUGAAAUUAAAAAAUGCAAUGUUUACAAAAUUUGGACUCUUUUAGCUUCUCAUAAUUUUACCUCAGAGUUAAGACAAUAUAGCUUUUUAAAGUUAAACGGGACUUCAGAAUACGGGCAUGUGUGUUCAUCUCUCACAAACUGAUAGUAUUUGUUCGUCUUUGAAAUCUAAUGUUUUCAUCUCACUAAUUAUCUCUCGAUGUAUUGAUGUGUAUAAAUGAAUUCCUUGAUGAUGACUUAUGUAAUGUUUAUUUUUGUUUAAAUUAAGCAAUUUCAAUUUAAACAGCCCCCUUGCCAUAUGAUUAAUUACGGUUUGACUGUAGUGGUCUCUUAUUUGAUAUCCAUGAAUUUAUGUUGGAAUUGAAAAGGUUGAAAGAAUCAAAAUUAAUAAAUGAAUUGGACAUGCUCACGCAUUAGUUAGGCGCUUAGAUUAAAAAAUAUUGAAUGAUUUUAUACUGUCACAUUUUAAAUGAACCAUUGAUCAUGUUUAAUCUGUACAUCACCUUUCAUUGUACAUUGGGUUUGUGCCUGUGCAUAUUAGCAGCAUUUAAUAUCGUUUUGUUUCUUUGAGAAUUUAACCUACUCUGAGUCUACAUAGUUUUGACUGCAGUGAUGAGUAUGUAGUCCCACAUAUUCAGAAAAGUGUGUGCAGUUAUUGCUUAAGUCAUAUUACGUGUAUAUCAUAUGAAUUGCUGAUACUUGGACAUUCAGUGUGUAGGAACGAGCAAAGACACAGAGGCUGUUCUUGUAUCCGUCCAGUAUUGCUCACCAAAUAUGUACCCAACUUUGGCAUUAUUCAUUGGUCAUAAUUCUACUUUUGUGGGGAUACAUGUAUAUGGCAGACAAUGAAAGGCCCUAUCUGUUGAAUGUCAAAAAUUUUUAUCGGUGAAAAACUGAUAUAUAUACAAAUCAAAGGAAUACAAUCGUAAUUCACUGGAGGGCAAUUCCAUGGAAUAUUCAGACUUUUGGUACGUCGGAUCCUUUUUUUUUCCAUGUUUACUUUACUUCACGAAACUGCUCAAGCUCAGUGAAUAGUCGUCUGGACUUUGAACCUCAAGGACCAAGGGAGCGUUUCAUGAAAGGACUUGUCGGACGUUUUAUCUGACUGUUACCAUAGUAACGGUAACUCUCAGCCAAUCAGACACAAGGAAAGUUGUCAGAUCCUACAAAUUGUCAGACAAAAAUGUUGAUAUAAUGCUGCCCAGGCUUUUAAUCUCACCAUGGCACUUGUGAUUUUUGGCAAGGCGUUUAUCUACAUUUGCCAUUCUCCAUCCAUGUGUAGUAAAUGGAUACCCGGUCGGAAGGAAUUCCUUGAAUACUCAAACACCCGAUCAGGGUCGCCUGCUAAUUGUGGGGUAAUAGUAUGCAGUGCUUGGAAACAUUCUAAAGCGAUAAAAAAAUGUUGCAUAUUAUUAUGAUUAUUAUUAAAUAUUUUAGAACUGGAUAAAAAGAAGAUAAAUACUUGAAAUGCUGCAAUCCUCUUUUAGAAUAAUGAUUUUCAAUAUGGACUUGAUUAUUAUCCAAGAGCAUUGAAAUAGCAAUAUGAAUCCUAUUCAAAACUGAAUGGAUAGUCAGUAUAUCCCCCAAUAUUAAGAGAAUACGUGAAAUAUCGUGACUGAAAAGCAUGUUAUUAUGGAAUAGUAAAGGAAAGAUCAAACACCACCCUUUUGUCAAUGGUAGCCUACCAGAAUGAGUCAUUCCUUGACAAAUAUUUUCAUAUAGGUUUGUUUUUUAAUUUAAAUAUUUUUUAGAAAUGUAUUUGACAAAAAAUUUAAGAGGUGAAUAUAUGGUGUUGUGUGUGUACUUGCUGAUAAUUUUUUAAAUGAUUGAAUUUUAUAAACCUUUGUCCUCUUCUUAAUUUUCUAUGUGAAAUCAUUUUUAUUCAAAUAAUGAACCAAAAAUACACAAUCGCUAUUCCCUGUUGUCUUUAACAUGUAAAUUUCAGCGGAAAUAGGACCAAAAAAUAAUUGUUUCAAUCAUGUUGUACUACAUUAUUGAUAUUUAUUCAAAUUCCGAUAUUUCACACAAGAAUGAACUCCUGUUUAUUUUAUGUAAUAUCACUUUCAUGAGGCAAUCUGUUCAAUGCACUUUACGAUUUGUUUUGUAAAAUCAUGAAGUAAUGUGAGUUUUGUGUUACAGCUCAAUAUUCAACCCCAUUGAUUUUUUUAUGUGGAGACAUUUUAUAUCUUUAAAGUUCAAUUUUAGUACAUUUAGGUGGAGGAUACUGCACAAGUAUAUGCUCAAGAUUUUGCGAUUGUGUUUAUUUUGGGUAAUUUUAGGACUUUUGUUAACAGCAAAAACGUGCACUUCUCAUAGAUUCCUGAACAAAGUGAAUGAAAAGGUAACAUAAUGUGCAAAAAUGAAUUAAUGUUUUUUUAAUUUAUGCAAAAUCUUGAAUAUUAGCUUAUAAAUUAGUUCAUAAAUGUGUCAUAUUCAUCUCUUUAUCUGACAAAGUUGGAAGUAUUUCUGGGAAAUACAUGUACAUGUAGACUACAAUAGAAUUUAUGGUAUAGAAAUUUGAAUUUAAUGCAACUCUUCACUACUGAAGUUUGUAGAGUCCCAGAGUAAACAUCCCAUUUCAAAUAAGUCUGAAAAGAAUGUAAUCGUUCAGUAAAGUGUUUGUGUCUUUGAAUAAACGUAAAUUAAGCAUUAUCCCUAUUUUCAGUUAGUUUUCAUUAUAUUACACCAUUUGCCUGGCUCAAACAUUGUAAGAAGUUUAUACUGUGAUGGUAUGAUUGCAGUUCAGCGUAAUUUUGAAGACUUUAUUCUUAAAAUUAUUGCUCAUUUUAUCUACUUGAACUGACAUCAAGUAUCAAAGAUACUUCCAAUCAUAUAAUUGAUACCGCUUUUUAGAUUUGAAGAUGAAUUUCACACUCGAACUAUCCUCUACCCAAAUUACUGGAGCUGAUCAACGUAUAGUGACGUAAUAAUAUUUUUUAUUUAGCAAAUCACGGUAACCAUCUCUCAUGCUUUAUAUUCUUAAGUUUGUUUAUAAUACCAUGUAAAUUCUGUGUGUAUAUAGUGUGUGUAAAAUUUAGCUAAUUGCUGUGUAGUUUUAGAGCCAGUUGUAACUCUAUUUGUAUAUAAUAUGUGUGUGUUUGUAAUAUAAUUGUACAGUGUGGUUUAGAAAAAAAAAUGAUUGUGUAAAAUUACAUGUCUAUGACUACAUUCACGCCUAAGAUGUUAUUUUAUAUUUUAUGCACUCGAGAGUACAUGCAGGAAAUUCCAUGCUGCUUUUAUAAAGCCUUGUUUUGAAUUUUUAGGAAAGUUCUUGUGCUCUAACAGUUAAUUUAUAUGAAACAAGCCUUCAUUGUCACUGGUAGUAAAGACGUCAAACUUUGUUCGUUCUUUGUUUUCUGAAUCCAUCUCACUGCCCUAUUUUGGUUAGGAACGGCUUAUGAAAUGUUGCGUUUUUUAAACAUUCAUAUAAAAUGUGCAAUUGUUUAAAAUCAAUCUGAUCUAUGGCAAGCCAAUGAUGCCAUCUAGAAGGCAUAUACUCUGUUCCUUUGUUAAAGGACAAGUCCACCCCAACGAAAAAUUGAUUUGAAUAAAAAGAGAAAAAUCCAACAAGCAUAACACUGAAAAUUUCAUCAAAAUCGGAUGGAGAAUAAGAAAGUUAUGACAUUUUUAAGUUUCGCUUAAUUUCACAAAACAGUUAUAUUAAGCAAAUCCCAGUCAGUAUGCAAAUGAGGAAACUGAUGACAUCACUCACUAUUUCUUUUGUAUUUUAUUAUAUGAAAUAUUCUACUUUUCUCUUCAUCGUCCUGUGAAUCAAAGUUUUAUUUCUCCCUGAACAUGUGGAAUGACAAUUGAUUAACAUUUCAUGGUUCAGUCAAGUUGGUCCUUAUUGUCAAAUCUGUUUAUAUUGAAAUAUUAUAUAUCUUAAACAAGAAAAAACAAAAGAAAUAGUGAGUGAGGGACAUCAUCGACUCUCAUUUGCAUGUUAUCGAGUUGUACAUAUAACUGUUUUGUGAAAAAUAAGUGAAACUUCAAAAUGUCAUAACUUUGAUAUUUUACAUCCGAUUUUGAUGAAAUUUUCAGCAUUAUGCUUGUCUGAUUUUUCUGUAUUGAUUCAAAUCAACAUUUUUCUGAGGUGGACUUGACCUUUAAAGAAGGAUCAUGCUGAACAAUCAACUUGAUUACCCGUGGAUGAGUAUGCAUUAUUCUAGAUAAUGAAAUAUGGCUUUCCAUAGUUUACAUCAAUUUUAAUCAAUUGCACUAUAUAAUAUUUUGCCGUGGUGAUUUUAUUUUAUCAGAUUUUUGCACUUCCAUGGCUUAGAUUGUUGCCAAAUGAAGAAAAUGAAAGUUUUAGCUAUUUUAGGAUCAUGAUUCUAAAACAAUGAAAGGAUUGAUUCCAAAGAGACCACUCUGUGGUCGUCUAACACAAAUUAUACUAAACUCGAUGAACAUUUAGAUAGAAACUUCUGUGUAAUGUUGAAUAUUAGGUCAUCAUGUGUGAAAACUAUUAUGUAAUAUAUGUAAUGACAAAACAGUUGUAUAUCACCUUUUCUAUUAUCUUGAAAUAUGACAAAAUUAAACCAUAAUCAGAUGUACUUGUAAGUGUCAAAAUAUAAAAUCUGUGGUUGUGGAAGGUUCAUGUUGUUAUACUUGUUAAAUAUGAUGUUGGGAUGACUUUUUCUGAGUACGAACAAUUUUUGUCAACCACCAAAUUUGUAUACUUCACUCACCGUUAAUAUAUUUUGUAUGUGAUACAUCGGUGUAUUUGGCCUUCGCAGAGCAUUUUAUGAAUUGAAGUUAAUCUUUAGCUGUGGUAAAGAUAAAGGAAAUUUUAGGAAGUUAAGCUCAUCUUAUGUAAGAAAUAAUGGAAUGAAACUGAAAUUGUGCUGCUGGUUUUGAUUCAAAAUCUGAUAUUGCUUUAGGUACAACUUGGUUUGCAUAACGUACAUCGCAAACAUAUGCUGGAAACAUAUUUGUCUGAUCUCCUAGGGCCCGUAACACAAAGGUUAGCGAUUAAUCGUAUGCUUGAUUUUUACGAUUGAUUGUACAUUGUAGUCAAUGCAAUCAAUCGUAGAAAAAUUUUCUAUGAUCAUUGCUAAGCUUUGUGUUACGGGCCCCUGAAUUCAUUUAUCUUAUUUAAAGUUAUAUUUCAUCCACUUUGAUUCGGCGCCAAUGUUUUCUCUUUAUCACAACUAGAGAUUACCUCACUAUUUUGUGUUUUUUUAUCAUGUCAAUAUUCUUAUCAACAAUAAUUGUCUGUUUUGCAGUUUAAGAGAGUCUCUGACUCUCUUAGUACAACCAACGACACAGGCUUCCAUAUUGUGUGUAUUUUGACGAGGUAUUGGUGAUAUUUUUUGAGAAUUUUCUGAAUUUGCAAUGUUAUUUCAAGUCGUGUGAUGGUGGUGAUAUUAUGUGUGUACUGGAGGGAGCUGUUCAACUUUUAGAUUCCAAUGAAAUAUUUGAGUGAUUGUUUAGAUAUACAGUAGUGGUAACAGCUUAAAUGGAUAAAUGAAAUACAUUGUAUUUGUAUCAUGCACUAAGAAUGACUUACUGAGACCAUGUGAACUACAAAUGAAAAACCCUUAUCUGUAGUAUUGAUAUCCCACAAAAGUAUAUAGCUGUACUCUAAGCAGCUGGUGAUGUCUAAUUUUGAUGGCCAAAAGUUUUACGAAAAUUCACACUGAAGUUUGAAUUUCACUUGUUACAAGCAUCUGUCCUCUUUUUAGUAAAGCUACAUUGUAUCCAAUAUAAACAAGUGAUGUUUAUUUCAAAACACCCAUUUUAUUCAUUGAUCUUUAUAAUGUAUUUAUGGCUAGAGGUAACAUUCUGGACAGUAUCACUUUUAUUUCUUCUGUUUUUUUUUUUUUUUUUACAAAUUCACCUUCUACAUGAUCUGCAUUGUGUAAAAUAUUCUCUUUUUUUAUUAUUAUGUCAUUUUUUAUAGAUGAAUUGACCAAGAAUGUGUACAUUCCUGUAGAAAGUGAGAAUUUGGCUGUAAAAUCAAUUCAAAUUCACGUUGGAAACUUAAUUGUUUUGUGUUACCGAUUUGGGCCCAAGUUCUAGUUUGCUUCACUUGACAUGUAUCUCAUAUCAUUGAAUUUGCUUGUCUAGGCAUGAUGAGACAUUUCCAUUUUUCAUUGAAACUCUAUUUCUUUCUCUAUUCCGCUUUCGUUUCCUGUGUCCCGUGAUCUUACCCAUCUACUUAUCUCUUUAAAAUAUUUGUUUUAGUCUCUCCCGCUCUCCUCUCUCUCCUUAUCCUCUUUGUUCCAGGACAUUUGCCCUGCUCUAAAUUCCGCACACUAAUCAAAUGACCAACUUCGACCCUGGGUUUAACAGUAACACUAUACCCUCUCGUAAACCUAACCCUAAACCUAACAUGAAACCCUAUUGCAACCCUAAUCCUAUCCCUACAUCUUAGAUAAUAUUAAGCAUGGAGCAAUUGUCACUGGAGCAGAUGUCGUGUCACUACAUACCGGUACUUAUCUCUUUGAAUAUUUGUUAUAGUCUCCCUUCCCUUUUUCUCUCUCUCCCUCUUCCUCUCAUCCUCUCCCACCCCCCCUAUCUUCUAUCUUUUCGUAUCAUCUUAUAUCUCUUAUUCAUCCUUUACUAACAUUGUCCACUGUAGAAUAAUACAGCUCCCUUGAGAUAAGUUGAAACAUAUUUAUGUAUUUGUGGGACUGUACCUUUCUUACGAAUUAAAAAAUCACCACACGUGUAUGUAAAUAGAAUAAACGCAAUGUCCUUUUAAAUUGGGUGUUUUAAUACCCUCCACCAUAGGUUUAUGGACACGCCCAAUAUUACCUUCCGUGCACAUCGCACUUGUAAAGAAAAAUGUUACUUCACAAUUACAGAUUAUGUAUUUAUUAUAAAUGUACUGCUUUAAUUAUAAAUUAUAAUCACUCUGUUGAAGAGGAUGGAUGUUCUCUGAUAUCUAACUUUAGAAACUAAUAAUAAAAAAAAAUCAUUUGAAAUGAUUGAUUUUCAAUGAA